GCCUGGGAGAAUCUUGACCUGGACGGGAAAUGAGGAGCAUAGCAAGCUUAACAGGCAGUGUGGGACCACCUUGCAGAAACGAUCAGAUCGUGCUGGGUUUGUAGUGCUGCUGGACUAGGGGAAUGAGAAGUGUUCAGAGUGGACAGAGAGCUGUGCUCAGAAGCUGUGGAUGAAAGCUGGUCGUACUGAGAGAUAUGAGGAGCAGAACUCAAGAAGGAGUAUUUGGUUUCAAAAGACAAACUCUUGGGACUGCUGGAUGAUGCACUCCAGAGACAGUGUGUGGCAUUGGUCGGCCACCUUUCAGCAUCCUUGAUACAGAUAAUUCCUGUUUUGUUUUGCUGUAGCCUUAACCCUAAUGGAACAGGAAAUGUCCGGAUAACAAAAGUUGUACGUGUUUCCAUAAGGGUCUUACAUCUGUUUUCUUAAUGCUUAAAAUCCAAACAAAAAGAGUUGCUCUUAUAUUGCUGCUCUGGAUUGCCAGAACUACUUUUUGUUUUCACUUUGGUUUUUGCUAUUUUUUACAGUGCAAAAGUAGCCCAAGGAAUCCAGAAGCUGAUGGACCUGCUGAGCAUGCAUUGUACAAGCAGCCUUGUAUGCUUCCACUGAGCUUUUGGGUGUCCAGAAAUUCUGGACAUAUGGCCAGAAAAGCUGUAGAUGAAGUGUAAGAGUGAUGGUUUGCUGCCAAGAGCAGUAGCAUUGGCAAGUAUGUUUGUGGCAUUCACGCGGUCAGAAAGUCAUACCAACUGUCUCCUCCCCAGACUCACAAAUUCCUCUUCUCAAAAGGGGUCAUGUUUUCUGUUUUCCAGGCCUCUAAACACAUAAAAGGCAUUUGCUUGUUUCCUUGCAUCACAUGAUUCUGCAAGUGGUGUUUUAUAUGUGUAUAUAUAUACAUGCAGUUUUUAACUCACUGUGCUUUCCUUUUACCCGUUGAUCUUUAUUCCUUCAGCAGAUCCCUUUUGGUUAUGUUGUAUGGUGUAUUUUUUUUUUUUUUUUGGUUUUGAAGAGAAUUAAGUAUUAUUUCAGCGAAUGACUUUUUUCAGAAUAAAAAGCAGAUUGUCAUGAAGGUAAUGAUGAGAUCUUUGUGGUUUGCUGUGAGCCUCUUGUAACCUAUUGGAUCUUGUUUAACAGAUAUGCAGAGAAAGUGCUACACAUGGAAAUGCUGCUCAGAAACAUCUGCGAGGAGCUGGGGGGGAAGCCUCUGUAAGCAGAAGUAUUGUCUGACCUCUCAUUAUUAAAGCAGCCCCAGUGUCAUUUAGGGUGGGAUCUGAAUUUAUGGAUCAUCACAGUGCCAUGUCUCCAGCUUCCUCCUUGCAUAUCUUGUUUUUCCACAAGAUGCCGACAAAUCUUGUCAAUCUGCAGGAAGAUACACAUUCA
Long non-coding RNA from Cygnus olor (mute swan), 1374 nucleotides. RefSeq lists it as uncharacterized. NCBI's taxonomy places the organism in Eukaryota, Metazoa, Chordata, Aves, Anseriformes, Anatidae. The record is from RefSeq and is a predicted model, not a curated record. The transcript is spliced from 3 exons.